Long non-coding RNA from Chenopodium quinoa (quinoa), 2933 nucleotides. RefSeq lists it as uncharacterized. Lineage: Eukaryota; Viridiplantae; Streptophyta; Magnoliopsida; Caryophyllales; Amaranthaceae. The transcript is spliced from 2 exons. The record is from RefSeq and is a predicted model, not a curated record.
GCACAUUAUGGAAGUUAAUCAAAUAUGAUGAAAGUUUACUCUCCACCAUCUAAUCUACUACAUAAAAUUACAACUAAAUACUGAUUAAAUUUUUAACAUUUGCUUGUUAUUUGACCAACUUAACUAUGUUGUAUGAAAAGUUGAAAACUAUGAACCCUAUUCCUCUUCUGGAACACCUAUACUUAGUAUCCAAAACACCUCAAAGGCCCAAACCAAUCUGAACACAGCCCAAAUCCUAAAACCCUAAAAAAUAAUAAACCCUAAUUCUUCAUUCUCAGUGACUGAACCCUAUAACACUCCACCCUUCUCCAUCCGCAAUCACCCACCUUCCCACUCUCUCUCCUCCAUUUCUUUCCCUAAAAACGGCGACCUUUUCCAUUUCCAUUUCCAUUUCCAUUCUCUCAGUUCAACUUUUCAUGUCAUCCGUAUAAUUGAAGUUUCUCCUAUUAACGACGUCGUUUCAUUUUGCCAAAUCCAACGCCGGCCAUCUGAAGAAGGAAUUAGACUGCCGGAAAUCUGUGUUUGUUGGGAUUCUGAAUUAAUUAUGUUUGGCCUCUAAUGAUGAUCAAAAUAAUACUUUCGUUCUUCCGAGAUAUUCUCAUGCGGAAAAACUAUUGGAGACCUGAACUGAAGAGGCUUUUUUUUGGUGUGAUUAUAUGUUAAAAAUGACUGCAAAAUUUUUAGAAUCUCACAGUUGUGAGAAUACCGGACUGUAACCCCAAAUGUGUUAGUAAAUUAUUGGUGCGCUAAUAUCAUUAUUUGUACUUUAAAGUUCAUUUGUUCGAGGGCAAUAAGUGGGGGGAAAUUGUAGUCCCUGAAUUUGGUCGGUCUUUAUUAAGACUAAGAAAAAUAUUUGGUGGGAAUAUCUCUUAUGUUGAAGUACCAGGAGACAUGAAAUGAGAAUUUGAUUGCUGUAGUAUAUAGCUAGGUUUCGUCUUUUUUUGAUAUUGUGUGAUUAUUUUGGGCUUAAAGUGUAUUAUUACAUGGAGUUUGUAUGGUACAUUAAAGGAUUUGUGUAUUAUUGUCAAAUGCUAGCCUCUAAUGAUGAUCAAAACAUAACUUUCGUUCUUCCAAGAUUUAUCAUGCGGAAACUAUAUGGAGACCUGAACUGAAGAGGCAAUUAGUAGUUGUGUUUAUUGGAUUUGUAUUUCAUAAUGUUAUUCAGACUUUCAUCUUGAUGAGUAUGGGUAGUAAUUACAAUUAGGGUUAUGAAUUGGGAUGUGUUAACUAAAAAAAUGUAGUUCUCCAAGGAUGAUGGCAAUUGAAAAACUUUCUAAUAAUUUCUGUACUUGUAUGUUGGAAUAUAUUCUUGUUGGAAUAUAUUCUGGAUACAAACUGCGGAUGUAGUAGUUUGUAAACAUAUGCUGAUCUAUAUAUUUCAUUUUGGGGAUAGAGAGUUGGAUAUUUAUUAUAUUUUCCUGUUGGACUUAUGAGUGGAGAGUUUUGUGAUUUAUGUGCUUUAAGUAGAUCAUAGUGUAGUAGAAAAUGUGUGCCAAUCUAUACUAGUAGCCUCUAAUGAUGAUUGAAAACAUAACUUUUCGUUCUUCUGAGAAACUCAUGCGGAAAUUAUAUGGAGACCUGAACUGAAGAGGCUUUAGUAACUUUUGUUGAUUGGUUUAAGCUUUAUAUUUACUGUGAUCUUGAAGUGUACUGACGUUGUAAAGGUUAAUUAAGAUUUAUUGGUGCACGGGAGUGGUGAACUUGUUAAUAUAUAGAUAUGGAUUUAUUUGUUUAGCAGCUCACGAUUUUUUUUUAUUUGUCAAUUGAGGGAAAGGAUAUACAAAUGGGCAAGGAAAGGUAGGAACUCUUGAAUUGAAUUUAGUGUCUCCAAUGAUGAUGACAAGUUAAGUUCUGAUGUCUUCCCUGUAGAAAAAAUUUGGAGACCUGAACUGAGGAGGCUACAGUCAAUUUAUCAUAGUGAUAGGAAGUGGGGAUAGAUCGAUCGGUAAUUAGGUAAAUUGUGCAAGGAGUGACUAUAUUCGAAUUGCGGGCAUGCAGGGAGGUUGAUGGUUUUUAAUUGCAUGAAGUUGUGUGAUUGCUAGGAAAGGUUUCCUUUUGAUGUUAGCCUGUACCGAGGAGGCUUUAGUAGUUCUCUUUAUUAGUUUUUUUUUUUUUUGUUUCAAUCUGAGUGGCAUCUUGCUGAUAUGGACGGAAUGGUGGAAUAACUGUCUUUAUGAAUUGCUGUUUUAUGAAACUGAGAAUUUUUACGAGAAUUUGCGAGGUAUGUUGUUGUCUCUGAUGAUGUUAAAAAAAUAUGACCUUUUAUCUCCUGAGAUUUUCCGUGUUGAAAAAGUGUGAUAACUGAAGAGGCAACAGACCAACAGUGAACAGUCUUGAUAUGAUGAAUUAUUACAGUAUGUGCUUAUAUUCAGACCUAAAUGGUACUCCGUAGUAUAAUGUUUAUUUGCAGGUGAAUGGAUCUUUGGCUCAAAGAGCAAUGAGAGGCUUGAUGUCAAGAGGUUUUGCUAGGAUGGUGUCUCACACAUUCAGCGUGUAUCAGUAGGAGAUUUGCCUCUUUGCCAUCACUAGUAUGGUUUGUAAUGUUGCCAAGUGCUUUGAGUGAAUGAGUUGUCUCUUCAAGCACCGACCUGCAGAAUUAUUUUUGGCCUCCAAUCGUCAUUUUAGAUGGAUUCUCUGGUGAUUAUUGAAAUUGAAGUGGAUCUUCUUCCUUGCCAAGUUGCUUGCGAGUCAUUUAAAUGUCUUGCUUGUUCCUAUGGAAUGUAAAGCUGUAGGUAGUUGGUACCUUAAGUUUGCCGGUCUUUAAAUACACAGAGGGCUGAGAAAGUGUAGAAGUUUGGGAUUACAACAAUUGAACUUCUUCUUGUAUAUAGUGAAUGUCAAAAUGUAUAAAUUGAGAAACAAUUAAACAAUACUUCUUGUUUGCUUUAUUAGAUUUUGAUAAACUUAAUGAAUUAACAAUAACAUACUUUCUA